Molecule: long non-coding RNA, 2217 nt
Organism: Dermochelys coriacea (leatherback sea turtle)
Lineage: Eukaryota; Metazoa; Chordata; Testudines; Dermochelyidae
Exons: 6
Source: RefSeq, a predicted model, not a curated record
CAACCCGUACCACCCACAAACCAAUGGCUUGGUUGAAAACGCUAAUAAAUCCAUAAAAAGGUAAGUGAAUGGGUGGGAAUAUUACAGUACUAAUGGCAAGUACAGUGUGCUAUGCAAGAAGAUGCAACUCACAAAAAAAUCUUCAAAAGCAAUGUGUUACAUGUAAAGUCUUUUUCAUUAUGUAUUACACCUUUUUGAUUAUGUAUGAUCUGUUUCAGUCAAGACCGUACGUGUGACUUUCUUUUUUUAAACAAACCAAUCAAUGAGCAUUUGUUACAGAGCAUUGCGGAAGAUGGUUGAUGACAAUUGAGUAAUUGGGAUGAAUUACUUGACCCCAUUUUGUUUUCUUUGCGAACUAAAGUACACGCAACAACACAAAUUUCACCCUUUCGACUAAUGUUUUGUGCUGACCCAGUGUUUUCAGAAGAAGUCUCAGAGAAUUACACGAUCCCAGAUAUGAAUACAUUCGGGAAAGAUUUCUGCAAAGAGUACAGCAUAAAUACGAAAUCAAAACGUGAUGCUGACAUUGCACUGGCCCUAAGUAACAUUUCUAAAGCACAAGAAAAACAACAAAGACAUUAUGCUAAAAGAAAGACUUCUAAAUAUCGGGAAAUAACAUUUGAUGUUGGGGACUCUGUUCUGUUACUGAACGCUAGAAAGAGAACAAGAAAAGGAGGAGUACUGGAACCUAGGUAUCGGGGACCAUACAAAAUUACGACUGUUGAGGGUAAGAGAGUGAAAUUACAAACCAUCUCAGGGAAACGGUUAGGAACCAUGUACAGUAUCGCACACUUAAAACCAUGUAAAGAGCCACCCACGUUAGUUGCUGAAAGCACAUCAGAGGGAAAAAUCGGAACUGAAAUUGCAGUUGGUGACACUGAACCAGAAACACCCUCAGAAGAUAUUAGAAAUGUGGAUGGCACUGUAUCUCACGACAGCACAGUGAAAACCAUAGAGGUCACAGCAACAGAAGAAGAGGAGUAUAUAGGGCAAGGUAUUUCAAACAAUGAUACAAGUGAUGCUGAUGAUAAUUUUGAUGACAUGUUUAUGGAGGAGGUGGAAGACAAGCAAUGGAUUCUGAAAGUCAAAUUUGUAAUGACCAGCAAACGCACAGAGAGACUGGAGGCCAAAGCGAGAAACAUAAAAUUGCAUGGCUCUUCAUUUCAUUGCUUGUAACUGAGAAGCUGGAUAAGUGAUGAGGUUAUUGAUGCAUAUUUAAGCUGUGUGGUCGAGAAAGCAGAUGGAAAGGUACAAGCCAUCUCAUCAGUAGUUUCCACUGUCAUUCUCUCAGGCAGAGUUCCACAAAUAAAAGUGAAGGUAAAUGCUAACACACUUUCAUACGUAGCAUGAGCAAAGCACAGUUUCAUUCAGUGAGUUAAACAGAGUGUGAAACAGUAAAUACAAUGCUAUGUUUGAUGUGGAGGAGUACUCUAAUAGUAAUACAUCUAAUGAAAUUGGGAAAUACAGUAUAAUGUACAUUUCAUGGUUUGCUUCACUGGAAACUAUAAUUGCUUUUCUAAUUUUUUUGUAAUGAAUACAGAGUGAUGAUGAUAUAUAAUAUAUUAUAUUAUAUUAUAUAUUAUGAUAUAUAUGAUAUAUUAUUGCUUCCUUAGCACACAACAUGGAGUUCUUGCGGUAAGAUGUUUUGUAUUGUACUUCUGGAUUAUGGGCAAUAAGUGUGGUAUUAAAUAAGAGAUUUGUAACACAACUAUGGUAGCACUGAUAUAAUUUCCCGUGUUGCGGAUUUUCAGUGAGUUCAGUGCAUGCAAAGGAAAGUGGAAUGUGAAUGUUAAAAAUAAAAUGCUACUAUCAAGUUUCGUUGUUAAUGUAACUUGGAAGAAUACAUUCUGUAUUGAAUUGAUUAAUGAUUUCACAAUAUGCUUUUUUCUUGUGAGUUACUGAGACAUUACAAACGAGAAUAUGUUAAUUGCAUAAUGAUUUUUGAUAAAUCAGUAUAAAAUUUUUGAAAUAAUCGCAUUACCAGUAUAAUUUGUGAAUAUAUUUACACUUACAGAUAGCCUUGAUGAAAAAAAAUGGCAUUGUUAAUAAUUGACCCCUUUUGUGAUGAGAUGAGAUAUGAAAGAACAUGCCUGAGGAAUUGGAGAAACUUCAUCAAACGAUUAACUAGAAAAUCCUCAUCUGAUUGGAAUAGUAAAAUUGUUCAGCAUCCCAGACAAAGUGAUGGCCACAACUGCGGACCACUCAUCUUAAAGAUAU